RNAcentral lists this unclassified non-coding RNA (395 nucleotides) under soil metagenome. RNAcentral's name for it is "partial contains 5.8S ribosomal RNA, internal transcribed spacer 2, and large subunit ribosomal RNA". The stretch from base 1 to 122 matches the Rfam family "5.8S ribosomal RNA", at positions 35 to 154 of the family's 154-position model. The record is from RNAcentral.
GAUGAAGAACGCAGCGAAAUGCGAUACUUGGUGUGAAUUGCAGAAUCCCGUGAACCAUCGAGUUUUUGAACGCAAGUUGCGCCCGAGGCCUCCUGGUCGAGGGCACGUCUGCCUGGGUGUCACGCAUCGUCGCCCCCUCUCCCCUCGGCUCGCGAGGGCGGGGGCGGAUACUGGUCUCCCGCGCGCUCCCGCUCGCGGUUGGCCCAAAAUCGAGUCCUCGGCGACGGUCGCCACGACGAGCGGUGGUUGGGAGACCCUCGGACACGGUCGUGCGCGCGCCUGUCGCCCCCGGGAUCUCCUGGACCCUCGGGCAUCGAAAUUCUAGGAUGCUCUCGUUGCGACCCCAGGUCAGGCGGGACUACCCGCUGAGUUUAAGCAUAUCAAUAAGCGGAGGA